RNAcentral lists this long non-coding RNA (3003 nucleotides) under Cucumis sativus (cucumber). RNAcentral's name for it is "long non-coding RNA (CSAT_LNC001432)". The record is from RNAcentral. Lineage: Eukaryota; Viridiplantae; Streptophyta; Magnoliopsida; Cucurbitales; Cucurbitaceae.
GCAAAUGAGAGGAAUAAGCGCAAUGAUAGGCCCCGCAAUACUGAUAGGUCAAGAAACUUUGAGAGGAGGAGGGAAAACAUGCAAAAUAGAGAUUUUCCAAAUCCUGCAACUGGACCUAACAUGAGUGCACCAGCUCCAGGUGGUAUGCCUCCCAACAACUUUAAUCCCAGCAUGCCUCCUCACAACCGCCAAGGCGAUUAUCCAGGAGGACCACCACCUCCGAACAAUUUUAACAGACCACCACCGCCACCACCGCACAACUACAGCGGACCACCACCACCACCACCACACAACUUCAGCGGACCACCACCACCACCACCACACAACUUCAGCGGACCACCACCACCACCACCGCACAACUUCAACGGACCACCACCACCACCACCGCACAACUUCAACGGACCACCACCACCACCGUACAACUUCAACGGGCCACCACCUCCUCCACCAAACAACUUCAACGGACCACCACCUCCUCCACCGAACAACUUCAACGGACCACCACCACGCAACUAUGCUUCAGCAUCACCAAAUCACGGAGGAGGAGGAGGAGGAGCACCCCACAACUAUGGGGGGCCACAGGAAAACAACUAUUGGGGAGCACAGCAGCCAAACAACUAUGGUGGACCUUCAAACUCUGGCCGGGGACCUGCAUAGAACAACUACUAUGAAGGGGUAAAAAAAGGCUAAUGGUGGUGGAUGGUCUAAUAUGUGCAUAAAAAUCAAGAAGAAUAGUCUAGGCGGUCAGGGUAGUCUAACGGUGGUGGCUGGUCACUGCAUUUUCGUUUUGGUGCUACAAACGAUGAGUUUAAUUUUGCUUUAUGAGUCGGCAUUUGUUUAAAAUCUGUUUAAGUCUUGUGUACAAUUUAAUAUAUUCAUGAGAUGGUGUAUCGUUUAUAAUGUUGUCUUUGUUCUGAAGUUGGCAAUGAUAUUGUCUCUUUUGGCCAUAUCUCUUUUAAGCUUGCAACAUACAUGUGUAUUUAAUGUAUGUGUAGUUAAAAUAAAGUCAGAGAUGUAAAAUUAUUUAAUAAUUUUAAAAUGGAUCAAAAUUAUAAGUAAAUUCAUACCAAGAGAAAGGAAGGAAAGACAAAAGAAAAAUAGAUCCUCCUUAUAUUUAUGAAAAUUUAUAUUAGGAAUGAAUUUAAUUUUACGUUUUAAAAAUAUAAUAAUAAAUAUUUAAUUAUUAUAUUAGCAAAAGCAAAUCUUUAAACCCUUAAACCCUUUCAAAACCCUUUUUCUUUUUUCAUUUUUUGUCUUUUUUGUUUCAACCUUCUCCCAUGGCGACUCAGCUCUUCUCUUUGUUUUCACGUUCCUUUCUCACUCCACCGGAGUCCCCCAUCUCCGUCUCUUCUCACUCCUCUUCCUCCCUUCUCCGCCGCCUCCCUCCCCUCGCUGCUAUACUCACCGCUGAUUUCCCGUCACUCUGCUGCACCGAGCGUGAGGAACUUCUCUACCCGUUCCACUUCUUCGUCUAUCAAAGAUCCCAAUCCUAACUGGUCUAAUCGACCACUCAUGGAGACCAUAUUGCUUGAUGGCUGUGAUUUUGAACACUGGCUCGUUGUCAUGGAGAACAACUCACGAGGGAUGAGAUUAUCGACAGCUAUAUAAAAACGCUUGCCAUUGUUGUCUGAAGGUAAAUUCUCAUUUUCGUAUAUUGUAUUGAAUCUCUCUCUCUCUCUUUCCUCCCAACGUUGGGCUAUCCUGAAUCUGAUGAUUGCAUUUAUUCGUGUCUCUUCUGUGUCUUUUUUUCUUCGUUGUGUUGUUCUUGGCUAUGUCUUUGUUUUGUAUUGAUGAUAUGAAGCUGUACCUUUUCCUCUUCAGAGCUGCCUAAGGUUCGUUGGGUCUUACCUGAUUCAUACUUGGACGUUAAGAAUAAAGAUUACGGAGGUUAUUCCUGACCCCAUUAAGUAUGCAAAUAAUCAUUUUAUCUCUUUCGGUGUCUAAUUUUACAGUCCUCACUCUUUAGUUUUGAAAAGAGGUCAGUCGUUCUGAAGAAGGCUUUAUUUCAAUUUAAAGCUACUAGAAGUUAAAAUUUUCAUAAUAUCAUAUGUCUUGUUCAUUAUACAUUUUUCUCAGAAAAGAAGUUUGAAAUACGUCAUUCAAAGAUAGUAAGUAGCUUUUCUCUUUACAAAAAUGUAGACUAUUGAGGGGAUAGAAUGUUAGCUACUUACUUGAAAAGUUGAAGCUCUUGUAUUGUAUGAUGGUUGAGGAUCCUGACUCAUUCAGGUCACAUUCCUAAGAUGAUAGAAAGUUUAAAAACUUAUCUAAGAUUGCAAUGCACUCUUGAGCAGACUGUCAAUGCACUCUUAAUUUGAAAGCCAGUAUCUUUUUGUUGUAGUGUCUCCCUUGUUUUGGUUCACUUAAGGCUACAACUAUUUUACCUUAUUUUGGUGUUGUACAGAACUGUUAUCUGACUUUCCGUGUAUUUUUUCCCUUUGGCAGGGGGGCCUUUUAUAAACGGACAAGCUGCUCCAUAUGACUCGAAGUACCACGAAGAAUGGAUUAGAAACAAUGCUAAAGCAAAUAGUAGGCGUGAUGUUAAUGGUAGGCGCAAUUUCGAUAGGUCAAGAAACUUUGAGAAGAGGGAAAACAUGCAGAAUGGAGAAUUUCCAAAUAAUGUUUCAGCGAGUCAACCUACUGGACCGAAAUUGAGUCCACCAGCUCCAAGUAGUACACCCCUCCCAACAACUUUAGUCCUAGCAUGCCUCCUCACAACCAUGCUGGAAUACCCCAAGGCAACUAUCCGGGAGGAUAUCCGAACAAUUUUAACAGACCACUGCCUCCGCCACCACCAUACAACUUCAACAGCCCACCACCACCUCCUCACAACUUUAACAGGCCACCACCGCAAAACAACUUUAACGGACCACCACCACCAUCAAACCCUGGGGGAGCACCGCCAAAGCAACUAUUGGGGUGCACCACAGCCAAACUUCAGCAGGCCGCCUGCACAGAACAACUGUGGAGGGAUGCAACCUAACGCUGGUGGAUGGUCUAAUAAUG